RNA transcript from Brassica rapa (field mustard), 23677 nucleotides. It is a transcript of the gene named retrovirus-related Pol polyprotein from transposon TNT 1-94, with no coding region annotated. Lineage: Eukaryota; Viridiplantae; Streptophyta; Magnoliopsida; Brassicales; Brassicaceae. The record is from RefSeq and is a predicted model, not a curated record.
UUUCAGGGACUGGUUUGCAAUGAUCGGUCAAGUGAAACGGAACCGUUUAAGAAAAUCUCAAAUUUCCGAAUUAGCACUGUAACUUAAAACCCUCGAGCGCCAGUGUCAGUCGUGUCACCAAAAUGAGAGGAGGAGGAAGCUGAAGAAGAGGCUUUGAGUGUUUUCCUUGGAGAUACUGCCGAUGGAGAGAAGUUCGCUAAGAAGAUGGGACCUGAGAUUAUGAAUGAGUUAGCUGAAGGUUAUGAGAGUAUCUGCCAAAGGGCUUUGCCUUCUACUGCUCAUGAUGCCUUGGUUGAUGCUUAUGACACUAAUCUCAUCAUUGAGUGUGAGCCAGAAUAUUUGAUGCCUCACUUUGGAUCGAAUCCUGACAUUGAUGAAAAGCCACCAAUGCCUCUUCGUGAUUGCCUUGAGAAGGUGAAGCCGUUCAUAGUGGCUUGAGAAGGAAUCAAGGAUCAGGAAGAAUGGCAGGUAAAACUGUUCAAUUUUGUGACUCUUUUGUGUUCAUGCAAAAUAUUGUUCUUACUUCAUUUGACCUUCUUGAUUUUCUCGCUUUUUUUUUGCAGGAAGCAAUUGAUGAAGCGAUGAAGCAAGCACCCCUUAUGAAAGACAUUGUUGAUCACUACAGUGGUCCUGAUCGAGUAACUGCCAAGACACAGAACGAGGAGCUCGAUAGAAUUACUACAACACUUCCCCAAAGUGCACCAGAUUCUGUGAAACGAUUUGCAGAUCGUGUUGCUCUUAGUCUCAAGGUUUGAUUUCUGUAACCAACCCCUCAAGAUAGUUCAUCCUAACAUCACUCUCUUUCAUCAGAUAUAUCUUAAGAGGUAUUGACGUUUCUCUCUUAAUCAUGGGCAAUGCAGAGUAAUCCUGAAUGGCGAUAUGACAAGAAGUACCAGUUCAUGGACAAGCUCGUUUUAGAAGCUUCACAAAGCUACAAAUAGCAUUUCAAACCCUGUUUUAAAAAAGCUUCAUUGCCGCCUUGAGAUUAGAUCGAAUUCUUGAUCUUGCCCCUACCUAAAAUGGUACCACUUCUACAUAACAAAGACUCAAGAAUUGGAGGUUUAGCAUUGUUCUUCCAUACGUUUUCAGGGUUUCCGUAAUAACUGCACUAUUCUUUGUUACAUUGUAUCUCAAAGAGACUAUGCGUUGUCCUUGGAUCUGCUUCUUGACUCUUUUAGCAUUCCUGUGCCUAAUGCAUGCGCUAAAAACCGAACACUCUUGACAGAAAACGAGCAUUAGAAGUCUCAUUGUUUGAAAAACUAUGUAAGAAUAUGGUCACGUAUGAUCGAUAGCUUCAACUAAUAAUCUAAAAUGUCAAUCUCUCCAGUCUUAACACGAGACAAGCGUUGCUUGGUCCGACUUCUACUUCCACAUAUUGUUUUAUGGUUACUGGAUAUAAAUAUUUUGGAUGAUAUAGUCAACGUCCCAAAGAGAGUAAUUCAACUUUCUACAGUUGUGAGCUGGUCUCCUUUGAACCUGAAAGAGAUAACGGUUACAUUCACUAUCAGCAUUGAAAUUUCUUCUGCAAUUUCUUGUAUUGUUUAAAAAUAAAUAGACCAUGAAUGUUUCGUAAGCUUACAUAUAUAUACACAUAAAGUCAACGAAUAUUGAGUUACAUAUGUGUUUAUAUAAAAGGACAUUUAAUUAUGUUUGUAUCACUACUAUCCAACAAAAGACAAAAUUUUCAAGAAUCGUGCCGUGACUGAGUGUUUUUGCUUAGUUAUGUUAUGCUGUUUCCUCGGCUGCAAGAAGAAAAAGCCUUCGUCGUCGUCGUCUUCUCAGUCGCCGGGAGAUGUGAAAAAGGGUAAGACGGGAAAGAAGGAUGGAGGACUUCGUGUGAUGUCGUCAGGUACAAAGACUACCACAAGCAGGGCUUUUAGCCGCGGCAAAGGCUGUCUUUGUGGUGACGGUGGCGGUUGUGGAGGUUGCGGCGGUUGUGGUGGUUAAAGUGAUUCGUUGUUGUGUAUAUGUAAUGGUUUCUUGUUCAUGUAAUCGUAAUGUUUGUUUACGUACGCAAGGUUUUUGUGUUAGUGGAAAUGAAUGUAUAGAUCUGUAAAACAAAUCAUGUGAAUUUUGAAAUUUCAAAUGUUAAUUAACUCUCUUUUUCCUUAUUAGCCGAUUGUAAACGUUCACUAUAUCAACAUUUCAUCAAUAUUUAGAAAUAUAUUUGAUGAGAUAUAGUAAAAUUAUAUCUAAAACUGUAUUUAAAUUCUAUGAAACAUAUUUUAUAUGCACCAGAAAUAUAAUAAAAUUAAUAUAAAUAUUAAUUUCAUAAUAGUAAUAAAUGCAUAUAAACUAAAAAUUAAACAUUUUCUUAUUUUAGGUAAAACUAUAUUUAAAAAAAAAACUACUUAUAAAUUAAUAAUUCUAUAAAUUAAUAAAAUACCAUAGUCUCAACAUUAUUAUUUAUAGAGUUUUUACUGUACAUAUUAAAAAGCCUGGUAUAUUUUUUUUGCCAAAAAUGUUGAUUUCAUAUAAAUAUGCGGAAGAUAUGUACUUUACAAAAAUUGAAAUUAAGAUGGGGUGUACUUUGGUAAAAAAAAAUAAAAACAAAAUGAAAUCCAUAUGAAAAUAAGACUUUUUAUCCAUUUCUUAACUAUAACAACGCUGACGCAUAAGUGUUUUGAAACUCUUCUUGUUUUGUUGUUUCCCCAAGAUUGUGUCUCUGAUGUUACAGUCAGUGAGCUUGUAAGUAGUUGGAGGUGUUGACGAGAUCAUGUCAUGCAGCCAUUUAUUCUGUUCUGGCCAAAAGUUGUAGAUAGCGUUGAAAUGGAGAAGAAAAUAACCAAACGAAAGGAGUUAGUUCAAGAUUAAAGGAGAGUUCAUCAAGAGAAACCAAUGAUCCAAUAUUGAAGCUGAAUCAUGGACAAUCAAAUUUUGUAAAACAAAUCGUGGACACGUGAAUCAUGGACAAUGAAUCGUGGACAGCUGAAAUGUGGAUAGCUGAAUCCAAAGUUCCUUGGAUGUAAAGUUUUAAUUCUGGUCAUAAUUGGACAAAAAGAAGUCACAUGAGGAGCAUGAAGAAGCAACCAGACUUGUCACUGUCCAACCAUAAAAUGCACCGUACUCAUGUCACUUUCAACCUAAGAAGACUGAGCCUCUCUCUCCUAUCACUCUCACUCCCUCAGGUCGUGCCUACCUUGGCUCUAUCCUCUUUAUCCUUGUCAAAAACCCUUCAAUAUUAUUUGUUUAGUAAAAUCAUGUUUUAGUAUUAGUUUAAUAUGUGAGCUUGCCUAUAUAUAACAUUGUUGCAUCAUAUUGUAAACUUUAAUCUCACUAUAUAUAACUGUCUUGUUACUUCAUAUUCUCUCUAUUCUCUUGUUUUCCACGAGCCUAGACUCAUCUCUCAUACUCCCAAACUCUUUUAAUCUCACUUGAAACUCAUUAUUGUCUCAUAUACGCUCUUUCAGCCAUUCACUCAUAAUCUCUCCCAUUCUUUGUUCCAGUCACCUAAACACUUAACCAUCAUCAUUUUCACCAUUCUUCAUCAAUCUCACAUGGUAUCAAGCUGAAAAUCUCUUCAACCUCAUUAUGCUUCGGCAAAUACAAGCUACUCCCAGUUCAUCUUCAAACCAGUUUGGUACAACCUUUUGUCCAGCAGUCCAAAGGCUCUCCAAGAAGGAAGAACCUACGACCAGCUCUCAAGACAAGGUGUAUUCAAGUCUCUGAACCUCCAGAACCAUCCAGCAAGUUCAAAAAGUUCAGAGAGUCAUCCAUUCAACCAUUUCUCUUUGAAGAUACUUAAGCACAUUCUUUUACCUAGUUGUCCAUAGCUCUUCCAAGAUGAAAAACUCUAAAGCUAUGAUGAUUCCUGUGAUGCUCAAGGUUCCAAACUAAUUCUCUGGUCCAGGCUUGUGAAGACAGCCUUUGGAGGAAAAGACUUGUGGACUCAUUGUAUACAAGAAGCUCCAAAACAAGCCAGUUCUCAUGAUGCUCUGAAGCAAACUGGCUCCAAACCUGAAGUUGGAGACAAAUGGCAGCAAGAAGACCACAUAGUGUUGUUCAUCCUUCAAAGCUCACUGGAAGCAACCAUUUUGGAGGCUUACUCUUACUGUGAGAAUGCAAAGGAGCUGUGAGAUACUCUCCGUAAGAUGUAUGGGAACUCAUUAAACCUCAGCAGGGUGUAUGAAGUCAAGAAAGCCAUCAAUAACCUCUGCCAAGAAGAAAUGGAGUUCACUGAGCACUUUUGAAAGUUCAUGUCCUUAUGGGCUAAGCUUGACAUGCUUAGGCCAGCUAUCAUUGAUCCAAAAACUCUCAUUGAUAGAAGGGAGUAAAACAAGGUGUUGGGGCUGCUGCUUACUCAAUCCAACCUUCAAUGAUCUGAUGAAACAUAUUUUGAGGUCAGACAAGCUGCCCAGCCUUGAUGAAGUGUGCUCUCAGAUACAAAAAGAACAAGGGUCACACUGCCUCUUUGAACCUAAGAAAGGUCCCACACUAGCAAAUGAGGCUGAAAGUUUUUCUCUUGCCAACAAGGUCUAUUACAAGAAAGAGAACAUGAGGGGCUUGAAGUAUGACCAUUGCAAGAAGGAAGGUCACACCAAGGAGAGGUGUUGGAUACUCAAUCCCCACCUCAAGCCCAAACAUUUUCACUAAGCCUCAUGGGCUGGAGGCUCAAAGAACUGAGCUCAGGUUCCUUGAUAAGCUGUGCCUCUUAAAAAUAAGAGCAAAAUGCCCAUGUGUUCAGAGCCUACUGAAGUAUAUUUCUGACCAUGGAGAAAUUGCCCACUUCCCAACAACACUUUAAACACUGAUUGUGUUCAUUAACUCCCAAGAUAGUAGAGAGGAAGAUUGGAGCUGUGGAGAGAUUGCUCAAGAGCUCUUACCUGAAGCCACGAGGGUGAACAUGAGGUUCCUCAAGAGAGAAAGGCAACAAUUCAAGCCAAGAGGGCUGUGGUCUCAAGGUGUUGGCAAUCAUUGGCUCUCAACUUCAAGCUUGACCAUAUACCCAUAUACUCUCAGUUUCAGGUCAAGCUUGAGUAGGGGUAUUAAAUUUGAAGCCAGUUCUCCAUUAUUGAAGACAAAUUUUGAUCUUAGUCCAUGAAGAAGGCAACAAGCAAGAAGUAAGGGGGAGAAAAGCUGUGAAAUAAGAAGAAGGUUCAAGAGGAACAUGAUUGUGUGUGAAACAAGGAAGGAAGUGGCGUCCUUUCCUUGCCAAUAAAGAAGGAAAACCCUAGCUGGAUUGCUUGUACUCUUUUCUUAUAAUUAGGUUUUUAAUGAGGCAAGUAAUAUCGGUUCCAAGCUUACCCAAAGAUCUCCUAUGGUCAAGUUUAAGGGGGAGUGUUGAAAUUAAAAAGAAAAUAACCAGAAGAAAGGAGUUAAUUCAAGAUUAAAGGAGAGUUCAUCAAAAGAAGCCAAUGACCCAUUUUUGAAGUUGAAUCAUGGACAGUGAUUAUGAUUUAGUUUAUUAAUUACUAAGAUAAUUAUUUUCAUUAUUUUAGGGUUUUAUGGUGUUUUUAUAUAUUGUCUAGGCUUAAGUUUGUAUUCAGUUUAUGAUUUAAUUAAUAAAAGUUAUGUUAUAAAUCCAUUGUAUGGAUAUGUGGAUUGCCAUUAACCAUCACGGAGGUUUACAUCCGACCCGACUAUCCGGUCCGUCUACACCCGUCUCUGGUCCGUCUACAUUCGUCCAAGACUAGUCAAGAUGAAGACUCAUUCAACCAGAGCAUUUAUGAGCUUUGACCAAGUCUGUAUCUUUGUAAUGAAUGUAGUCAAUAUGUAUUAAAUGUGUAGAUUCUCUCCUUUGCUGUAAACCUUUGUAUGAACCUCCACUAUAUAUUGAUAGUGAGAGCUAAUGAGAAAGACACAACUUUCACAGCAACACUUCUCUCAUAUUUCUAACACGUUAUCAGCACGAUUGUGCUCUCCACCUGAGAAAGCUCUCUCCGCCGGCGUUCCCCUUUCCGGCCAGCUCCUCCGGUGCUCAGCCUUUGCUCCACCGGCGCUCAGCCUUCUCUCCACCAGGCCACCUCUCUCUCUCCGCCGGAAAACUCCUCUCUCUCUCAAAUUCCGGCCAACUCUCAGCCUCUCUCUCACGGUGGUCCUCUCAGAUUCUUGUGGUGAAAAAGGUAAACAAAUCAAAACCUUGAAAUCUAAAGAACACCAUUAUAUCUGAAAGAAAUCUAGGAUCUAUAUGAAUCCAUACUUUAUAAACAAUCUAUGGAUUUAAAAUAUUAAUCUUGUUUCUAUGAUCCAUAUGAUCCAUAUGAAACUUGAUUCUAAAAUUAUUUUGAAUCCAUAAAACUUAAAAUUCUCUAAAGGUUCUAUGUUUCUCUAAAAACUUAUAAACUUAUUAAAAUACCUAAAGAUCUAUAUGAAUCUUGUUUAUAAAAACUUAUGAAUCAUAAAAUUAUUAGAGAAAGCUUAAACCUUUUGAUUCAAUUCUUUUGUUUGGCCAUUUUACCAGAUGUGAUAAAUAUAAGUGUAUAAUCUGGCCAAAACAAAACUCCAUCAAAACCUUGAUGUGCCAUUUUCGGCCAGAUCCCCUAAAAAUCAGUCAACCCAUCAAUAAAAUUGAAAUUAAAUUCAUUCAUUGCAUAUUCUUGACUGUUAAUAUUUAUUUUGUAACUGUCAAAGUUUUAAAAACCUUUUAUGAUUUUUAUAAAUGCAUAAUCGAUUUUAUAAAUGCUUGUUUGAUUUUAUUAAAUGCAUAUCUUUGACUGAAAAUUAUUUCUAAAGUUUUAUAAGCCAUAGUCUUGUUUUAAAAUUGAUAUGUCAUAAGGUAGAAUAAAAUCUGUUUGAAAUCAUUUGAUCAUAUUGUUGUUAAUUAAACCAACCAUGAACCGAUUUUAUCUCAUACUGAAUUUUGAUCACAAAGUUUGCUAGUUAAAAUAAAACUUGAUCUAGUUUCAUCCUUGAACCUGAUUCUGUGAUUAAAUUAUGUACUGAUCAUUUGCAUACCUGAUAGCAUCAUUUAGUAAAUCAUUAGAUCGAACUUGAAUCAUCCAUGAACCGACCUUUGCAUGCAUCCAACUAUCAUAUUGUUAAAACUGGACAUAGGUAUCACAUAAUUGAAACCAAACAUACAUGUUCGCAUAGCUUUAGCAAUGAUGAUACUAGUGCGUCUGAAGUGGUUCAUGUUGUUUGCAUCUAAAUGAUUCACACUGUUUGCAUAUAGUUAGACAAAAUCGGUUUCCAUUUAAAAUUUAGUACAUUUGCUUUAUUCGAAAUUAUAAACCAAGUUUUAACCGAUUUUGAAAAUCUACUUUGGUUUACAAAUAUCUUGAACAUUAUAAAAUUUAUUUGUCUUGUCCAUGAUGCAUUUUAAAACAAGCAUUUAUAAAAAUCGAUUAUGCAUUUAUAAAAAUCAAUUCUAAAACAAGACUAUGGCUUAUAAAACUUUAGAAAUAAUUUUCAGUCAAAGAUAUGCAUUUAAUAAAAUCAAACAAGCAUUUAUAAAAAUCGAUUAUGCAUUUAUAAAAAUCAUAAAAGGUUUUUAAAACUUUGACAGUUACAAAACAAAUAUUAACAGUCAAGGAUAUGCAAUGAAUGAAUUUAAUUUCGAUUUUGUUGAUGGGUUGACUGAUUUUUAGGGGAUCUGGCCGAAAAUGGCACAGCAAGGACUUGAUGGAGUUUUGUUUUGGGCAGAUUAUACACUUAUGUUUAUCACAUCUGGUAAAAUGGCCAAACAAAAGGAUUGAAUCAAAAUGUUUAAGCUUUCUCUAAUAAUUUUAUGAUUCAUAAGUUUUUAUAAACAAGAUUCAUAUAGAUCUUUAGGUAUUUUAAUAAGUUUAUAAGUUUUUAGAGAAACAUAGAACCUUUAGAGAAUUUUAAGUUUUAUGGAUUCAAAAUAAUUUUAGAAUCAAGUUUCAUAUGGAUCAUAUGGAUCAUAGAAACAAGAUUAAUAUUUUAAAUCCUUAGAUUGUUUAUAAGUUAUGGAUUCAUAUAGAUCCUAGAUUUCUUUCAGAUAUAAUGGUGUUCUUUAGAUUUUAAGGUUUUGAUUUGUUUACCUUUUUCACCACAAGAAUCUGAGAGGACCACCGUGAGAGAGAGGCUGAGAGUUGGCCAUUGAGAGAGAGAGGAGUUUUCCGGCGGAGAGAGAGAGGUGGCCUGGUGGAGAGAAGGCUGAGCGCCGGUGAAGCAAAGGCUGAGCACCGGAGGAGCUGGCCGGAAAGGGGAACGCCGGCGGAGAGAGCUUUCUCAGGUGGAGAGCACAAUCGUGCUGAUAACGUGUUAUGAAAUCAUUGCCUCAGAGUGGUUUAACGUGUUAAGAUUUGAGAGAAGAUUUGUGAAGAAUGAUGUGUAUUUCUCAUUAGCUAUCACCACAUAUAUAUAGUGGUUUAUACAAGAGUUUACAAAGGAAGAAGAUCUACACAUUGAAUACACAUUGACCAUAUUGGUUACAAGAUAUUCUACAUAAAGACUUGGUCAAAGCUCAUAAUGGCAAAUGUUGAAUGGGUCUCCAUGUGGGCUAGUCUUGGAUGGAAUGUAGAUGGGUUGGAUGUAAACCUCUAUGGACUUCUACUUGUACUUGUUUGGACUUGUCUUAUACUUGGUUAUGUACUUGGUUAUGGGCCAUCCACUCAAUGGUUUUAUAACGCUCCUCCUUGGAUGCCAUAACCAUAUCGGGCUUGUAAUAUGAUAAUGUUGCCUCAUUAAAACCUCUCCCGGAAAACCCAAAACCCAAUGUGGUAAAAAGGGAAACCAGAGAAAGGAAAAAGAGUACAACACACAUUACUCCCCCUGAUUUGGACAUCACUGAAGGUCUUUGAGUCUACGCGUGCCAAUCUUGUUGCGUGAACUUCCUGAAUGUGCAAGAGGGCAAUGAUUUGGUGAAGAGGUCGGCUGGACAAGCUGGUAAUCUCAGGGGGAGAAAAUAACAAGUUGGGCAAAGAAAUUGUAUGGAAUCAAACAUCCUUAUCAUGGCAAGAUCCUCGGAGUCAAUCAUGUGAUUUAGAAGUCUAGAAAAUAAUUCAUAUGCAAAAGCUAGUUAAUCAAUUGCCUGAUUCCUUUGCUGACCCGAAAAGAGUAACUAAGUCCUAUAUACCAGCUUGUAAUGCACCAAUAAGUAUUGAUGUCCAUGAUGGACACAAUCAAGUGGCUACAGAGUCUAAAACACGACUUAAGCGUGGUAGACCAAUUGGUUCCAAAGAUAAAAGACCUCGGAAACUAAAGAAAGGUGCAAAAGAAACCGAGGUCAUAGAUUGUCCAGACAAGGCCGAAAUGGCCAUGCCUAAGGUACCAACCAAUGGGACUCGGGACGCCGAGCCUCAUGGUACUAAAGGAAUUGAUAAUGAUGAGAUUUCAAUUAAUUAUUUAAUGUCUGGGACAAGAUGGAACCGGAAAGAUGUCGACAUCAAUGAUAUAUUUUCAUACCAAGUAGCCCUUGAUAUGAUGGACUUAGAUGAGGAUCAUGAACCCACGUCUAUACUAGAGUGCACUCAAAGAUCAGAUUGGCUCAAAUAGAAAGAAGCCAUAAACGUGGAGUUAGAAUCAUUUAAGAAAAGGAAUGUCUUUGGAUCGAUUAUCCAGACACCUUAUAAUGUUAAACCAGUGGGAUAUAAGUGGGUAUUUGUGAGGAAGAGAAAUGAACAUGGUGAAAUUGUAAGAUACAAAUCACGGUUUGUAGCACAAGGAUUCUCACAAAUACAAGGCAUUGAUUAUGAGGAGACAUACUCCCCUGUGGUGGAUGCAACUACAUUUCGAUUUUUAAUAAGUCUGGCCAUCAAAGAAAAUUUGGAUAUGCGGUUAAUGGAUGUUGUAACCGCAUACCUUUAUGGUCCACUGGAUAACGAAAUAUAUAUGAGAUUACCAGAGGGUAUUGAGCUUAAAGCUAAUAAAGGUUCUCGAGAAGAACACUGCAUAAGGCUGAACAAAUCCUUAUAUGGACUUAAGCAAAGUGGUCGAAUGUGGUAUAACCGCUUAAGCGAAUACCUUGCCAAAGUUGGCUAUAAGAACGACCCUAUCAGUCCAUGUAUCUUUAUAAAGAAGUUUGAAAACAAAGGAUUUGUUAUCAUAGCAGUGUAUGUUGAUGAUUUGAACAUUAUUGGAACCCUUGGGGAAAUCGCCCAAACAGUUGAAUAUCUCAAGAAAGAGUUUGAAAUGAAAGACCUAGGUAAAACUAAAGUCUGUUUGGGAUUACAACUUGAGUACAUAAAAGGAGGAAUCCUUGUGCAUCAAAAGGCAUAUACAGAAAAGGUACUCAAGAGAUUUAACAUGGACCAGGCUCACCCAUUGACCAGCCCAAUGGUCGUGAGGUCCCUUGGAGUGGACACUGACCCAUUCCGUCCAAAGGAGGAUGAUGAGAAUGUCCUGGGUCCUGAAGUGCCUUACCUCAGUGCCAUAGGAGCGUUACUAUAUUUGGCUAGCCACACUAGACCAGAUAUAUGUUUUGCCGUGAACCUCCUAGCCCAUUUUAGUUCAUGUCCGACCCAAAGGUACUGGAAUGGAAUUAAACAUAUCCUACGUUACCUUCAAGGAACUAAGGAUUUGGGUCUAUUUUAUACCAAUGAAACCAAAGAUGGUUUAGUAGGCUUUGCUGAUGCAGGCUACUUAUCUGAUCCACACCAUGCUCGGUCCCAAACCGGAUAUGUGUUUACUUAUGGUGGUACUGCAAUAUCAUGGUGUUCCAUGAAACAAACUAUAGCAGCCACAUCAUCUAAUCACUCAGAAAUCUUAGCCAUGCAUGAGGCAAGUCGUGAGUGUGUAUGGUUGAGGUAUAUGACUCAACACAUCCGAUCAGAUAGUGGAAUGGUCGAGGACAAUGGUCCGACCAUCAUAUAUGAGGAUAAUGCAGCCUGCAUUGCUCAACUCAAAGAUGGGUAUAUCAAAGGUGACCGAACCAAACAUGUACUACCCAAGUUCUUCUUCACACAUGAGUUGCAGAAAGCCAAGGAGGUCAGCAUCACUCAAAUCCGGUCAAGUGAGAACUCAGCCUACCUCUUCACCAAGUCACUUCCCACCAGCACAUUCAGGAAGCUCACGCAGCAGAUUGGCAUGCGAAGACUCAAGGACCUUCAGUGAUGUCCAAAUCAGGGGGAGUAAUGUGUGUUGUACUCUUUUUCCUUUCCUUGGUUUCCCUUUUUACCACAUUGGGUUUUGGGUAUUCCGGGAGAGGUUUUAAUGAGGCAACGUUAGAACAUUACAAGCCCGAUAUGGUUAUGGCAUCUAAGGGGGAGUGUUAUAAAUCUAUUGUAUGGAUAUGUGGAUUGCCAUUAACUAUCAAGGAGGUUUACAUCCGACCCGACUAUCCGGUCCGUCUACACCCGUCUCCGGUCCGUCUACAUUCGUCCAAGACUAGUCAAGAUGAAGACUCAUUCAACCGGAGCAUUUAUGAGCUUUGACCAAGUCUGUAUCUUUGUAAUGAAUGUAGUCAAUAUGUGUUAAAUGUGUAGAUUCUCUCAUUUGCUGUAAAUCUUUGUAUGAACCUCCACUAUAUAUUGAUAGUGAGAGCUAAUGAGAAAGACACAACUUUCACAGCAACACUUCUCUCAUAUUUCUAACAAGUUAAGAGAUUUCUCUUUAUUCCUUGAUUUCGGCAUAGAACAUAGGUGUUCUCAACGAUUUUAAGAAGACAUUGAUCUUAGGUAUUCUUACACUAAAUAAAAUAUUUGUAAUAUUCUAGUUUCCAGGUAUUCUCAGAAUCAACGGAUCUCUAGUUUUAUCCCUAGAAAUUUCUCAGGUGAUAUCAGAGCCAUAUUUUUGGGUUUCUUAAUCAAAACUCGUUCCUGGAAUCAUGGCUAAUUUAUUCUUUCAAAUUGAAGAAACUGUUUACGUAGAGAUUACUGGUGAUCCGGUUUACGAUACUUAUGAUGAUGACUAUGCACACGUCACCAAAUAUAAAGUACCGUAAGCAGUGGCGGAUUUAGAAAAUAAAUUAACAUGGGGCACUAUAUAUAUUAUAUUUUACAAAAUAUUUAAUUUAAUUUAAUUAAUAAAUUAUAUAAUAAUAAUUGUUUUUGUGUAAUGAUUUGUUAUAUAAUAAAUUUAAAAUAAAUGACAUUAACCAUUAAUUAUUGCGUCUUAUUUAAUGCAUUAUUUAAAUUAAAUAUUAUUAACAUAAAAUAAGCAUUUUAUAAUAUUAAGUAUUUAUUUUGAGUAAUGUUAAAAGAAAAUUAUAUAUUACACAUAUAGUUUCAUUACAAACGCUUAUUAAAUAUAGCUGUUAGUUUAAUCUAAGUAUUAUAAUUAAUAAAUACUAAAUAAAUAAAACAAAAUAAAGCGCACAAUGUUUUUCUUAGAAAAAAUAUAUACUAAAAGAAAAGGAAAACACUCAUAAAAAAAUUUGCAACACAAUUAAAAAAGAAUAUAUAUUUAUGAAAAGUGAUUAAAAUAAAAAAAAUGUAUAGAAUAAAAUUGUUGUGUUAGUAUUAGUUUUGUCUCUGGUCUUGCCCUCGAAAUUUGAAUUAAACUAAAAUACUACGUUAUUUAUCAAUUAUUUAUCUUUAGCCUAAUUUCCAAAAGAAAACAGAAAAUAAUAUGCCAGGGGUCGAAUACGUGAAGCGUGGAGCACUGCUGUGAGUCUCAUAACCAAAAGAGCUGAUAACAUCAAUUAGUUCAGUAAGUGCAAAAGUGAUAUAUUGUUUAGUGUGUGGCACGUGCCACACCCCACUCUACCGUGGAUCCGCCCCUGGUCCGCAAGACGUCGUCGUGCAUGAAGGCGUCCAUAACUCCAACUCAACCAAUUCCAUACAAGAUAGUGCGGUUGUGAUAAGUAUGAAAAAUUAUGCUCUAAUUCAAGCAAAUCACGUGGUGGUGGAUGGCAUCAAAUCAAAGAGUCAAGUGGUUACGUGUCUUGUUGGUGACUGGUUUGUGGAGACAAAACGUUCAACAACGAAGAUUGGAUACAUUGACAAAAAUAAUUUGUUCUAUAUAUGCCUUUUGUUUGUUUAUGUGAAGAUCAAGGAUGCUAAGUUUCAUCAAUGGAAGAGAAAAAAAAAAUAAUUGACGACCACAGUACCAAUCUGGAGAGAAUGAUGUAGUUAAAUAUUUGGAAUAUUUCCAAAUAUUUAUUAUUUAGUUUAUUAAUUAUUUAGAUAAUUAUUUUUUAUUAUUUUAGGAUUUUAUGGUGUUUUAAUAUAUAGCUGUCUAGUCUUAAGUUUGUAUUCAGUUUAUGAUUUGAUUAAUAAAAGUUAAGAGAUUUCUCUUUAUUCCUUGAUUUCUGCUAGAACAUAGGUGUUCUCAACGAAUUUAAGAAAACAUUGAUUUUAGGCAUUCUUAGACUAAAUAAGAUAUUUGUAAUAAUCUAGUAUUCCAGGUAUUCUCAAAAUCAACGGAUCUCUAGUUCUAUCCCAAUAAGCUUCCACUACAUCAAACAUCCAAAUCUUGAACAACAAUUUGUGGACACUUAAAUCAUGGACAACUGAACUGUGGAAAACUGAAUUCAAUAUCCCCCAACAUGUUGAAGCUUCAAAUAAACUAAUUUUGGAUGAAAAGGCUUAAUUCUGAUCAAAAUUGGACAAGAAGAAGUCACAUGGGAGUUUGGAGAAGCAACCAAACUUGUCACUAUUCAACCUUGAAGAAUGCACCUUACUCAUGUUACUUUCAACUUAAGAAGACUGAGCUUCUCUCUCCUGUCACUCUCACUCCCUCUCGUCAUGUCUAUCUUGGCUCUAUCCUCUUUGUCCUCAUCAGAAACCUUACAAUAUUAUUUGUUUAGUAAAACUUUGUUUUAGUAUCAGUUUAAUAUGUGAACUUGCCUCUAUAUGGCAUUGUUCUAUCUGAUUGUAAACUUUAAGUUGAAUGAAUAAUUCUUCUUCAUUACUCUCUUGUUACUUCAUAUUCUCUUUAUUUUCUUGUUUCCCACAAGCCUAGACUCCACUCUCAUACUCCCAAACUCUCCUAAUCUCACUUGAAACUUGUUACUGUCUCAGAUACACUUUCUCAACCACUCACUCAUAAUCUCUCCCAUUUUCUGUUCCAGUCACCUAAACACUUAACCAUCAUCAUUCUCAUAUCAUUCUUCAUCAAUCUCACAGAUAGUUGCAUGAGCAACAAGUCUUUUGAGAAUCAAUGGGGUAGUGGAGUCUUUGAGAGAUAACCAUUCAAUAAAAGAUGUCCAAGUAAUGAAGCAUGAGUGUGUAUACAACCUUCGAAGAAUCAUGUCCCAUAUCUGUUCACUGAUUUUGCAGCGUAGAAACACAUGAUCCCUUGUUUCUGGAACUGAAUCGCAUAUACAACAGUUUAAUGAAAUCCCAAGGCCCCAGUUCGCAAGCCUUACCGAGUCGGCAUUCUAUAAUUCUGCGCAAGCCAGGUAUACUUUCAGUCUUUCCCAAACACACUUUCAAUACUAUCUGAUCAGAUAAUUCGAGAUUUAGAGUCCACUUCACUGUUGAUCAGGUAUAUAGUUUAGAAUCUUUCCAACAUUUCCAGCAUAUACUGAUGUGUAUAGACUGGACAAGUCACGCGCUUUCUAAUUUUCGUAAUAACAUUCGAAUAUUUAUUCAAAGAGAGAAUGUCUACUAAUUCUCAAGUCUCGUUGUUGCACACAUGACAUGUCUAAUAAAAUAUUUAAUCCAGAAAUCUCUAGUGCUUGAUUGUUUCUAUAGAUUUUCAGUUUCCAUUUAUGAAAUCUAUGACUUGGGAUCUCAUUUGAGGACUGAACAUAUAUAUUUAUGUGUUUGGUUUUUUUUUUUUGGCAUCACAUGUUUGGUUUUCUUGAAACGGUAUCAAACAAGAAAAUUUCCAUUUUCCUGCUAGUAGAUUGAUAUUACCACUGCUCAGACAAUUAUUGUUUGUCACAUUCUCAUAUAAAGAAGUUUUUUUUAUGACCGGUAACUCGUCUUCCUUUAUGACUGUCAAUGGAGGUUUCAUAUUAAUGAGUAACACAAUUAGCUUAAAAUAUUUCGGAUAAUAUAGUCAAAGAGAGUUAAUCAUUUUUUUCUUUACAUUUUUCUUAAACGUAUAUGGAAAAUUAUUCUGCAAUUUCGUGUAUUAUCUUAAAGAAAUAUAUAGGUUAAGAGCACAUCGUAAGCUUUUUACAUACGAAAUGUCAACGGAUAUUUAGAGAUAUCUAUAUCUAAAAGGAUCAUAUUUCUAUCGUCAUAUAUUCGUUAAAUAUAUCCAAAAGAAGGACAAAAGCUUAACAUCUGACCUCGUUUUGGCUUUACGAUGUCCAUGUUUCGUAGGUUAUUCUGUUUCUUCAGCCGAAAGAAGAAAAAGACUCCGUCCUCGAAUCUUUCUCCGCCUCGUGUUAAGAAGGCUAAACCGAGAAAGAAAGAUGGAGGGUUUAGUGUGGUGACUUCAGGGUUGGAGAUGUCUAAGACCAAAGGCUGUUGUUGUCGUGGAGGCAGCGGUUGUGGAGGAGGUUGCGGCGGUUGUGGUGGUUAAAGUUCUCCGUCGAAAUUACCCUUUAUGGUUUCUUGUUCGCGUGGUCGUAUGAGUUUUAUACAUACAAUCCAAUGUUCUUAUUUUGUGUGAUCAUCUAGAAAGUGUAUAUAGAUGAUCACUUGUAUAUUGUAAUGAAUCCUAAAAGGUGAAAGUUACUAUUGGUAAUUCUGAAAUUUGUUGGGUUACAAUUGGUUUAAUUUUAUCUAUAUAGACGCUUGGUGACAAGAUUUCACUACACCAGCAUUUUAUUAAGAAUUUGUGACUAACAUGAAAUUUCAAACAUAAAUACAAAUUAUUUUCAUUCAAUUUUUGUUAGAAGUUCAAAGGAUAUAUGAGUACUAAACAUUCUACUGAAAUUUCCCCAAAACACUAAUUUUAAAUACUAUUUAAAGAAAAUAUGUCUGUCAAAUGUUCGUCGUAUUUCCCUUUCAAAUACUAAUGGUAGGGAUGGACGUUCGGGUACCCAUUCGGGUUCGGUUUGGAUUUAAUCUGGUUUCGGGUUUUCGGAUUUAAAGAUUUCAGCCCAAUUCGGGUAUUACUAAAUUUCGGUUCGGGUCCGGUUCGGAUCUUUGCGGGUUCGGUUCGGAUUCGGAUAACCCAUUUAAAUUAUUUUUAAAAUUUUAAUAUUCAUUAUAUGCUUAAAAAUUCUCAAAAUCUAUAAAACAAAAUAAUAUAUUACAUAUAAAUUUGUAUAAUAUAUGUCAAAAUACCUAAAAUUAACAUAUAAAUUGGUUUGAUUGGAAUAUUUGGAUUGAAAAUCAAUAAAUAUUUCAAGCAUUGUUGUCGUUUGAAGAUAUUUUAGCUAUUUUAGUCAUUUAUUUUUGACUAUAUAUGUAUAUUUUCAAGUAUUUUAGACAACUUAAAGUAUAUUAUAUAUUUUGGAUGUUUUUAAAUCUAUUUCGGUUACAUUCGGGUACCCGAGAUAUUUCGGGUCGGGUUCGGUUUUGGUUCUUUAGAUAUCAAAAUUUUGAACCCCUUCGGAUAUUUAAUCAAUUUCGAUUCGGAUUUGUUACUACUUUUUCGGACCGAAUUCGGUUCGGUUCUUCGGAUCCGGGUUUUUUGCCCAGUCCUAACUAGUCGACUCGGUGGUUUAGGCCGUUUCUCGCUGGAACAUCAGAUAAUUUGAGUCAUAUUCUCUGUCGAUCCGUUUUUUUUUUGUGGUAGUAUAUAUUUUCAAUUUUGAAAGUACCACUGUAAAAUUAGGAACAUAUACAAUAUGUGUCGAAAUUAAUGUCCUAUGUUUUACCGUGUUUUUGCAGAUCAUAAACUUUGCAACGGUUAACAUGAUUAUGUAGUCAAAAUAUUUGGAUUUUGUAUUGUCCAAAAAUGCAUUUCUAUAUAGUGUAUGGUUUAGAAUGUUUCCAACAUGUUCCCGCAUGAAAACCUUACGUUUUUUAUAUAAAAAAACAUGGCCCACAUGCAGGACUCAUAGGGUAAGUGAUGCGCUUUCUAUUUCGUAUUUCUUGUAAAUUCACAGGAAAAGUUUGAUUGGUCUUUAAAAAAAGCUUGCUUGGUAGACCAUGCAAGUUCAAUCAUCUCAUUCACUAAAAUAUAAAUUUAAAAAGAGAAUGUGUAUUUUUUUUUUGACAUCAAAAGAGAAUGUGUAAUAUAUAUGAUAUAUCAUAUAUCAAGUGUAGUUGUUAGCACGCAUGACUAAGUCUAUCAUGUAUUGUUUCUAUGGAAUUUCAACUAUUCAAUCAUAGACCUUAUAUCUCAUUUUAGAUUUGACCAUUUAAUAUUUCCUUGAAAACUAAUAAACAAGAAAAGUUUAUCUACUUGCUAGUUGAUUGAAAUUUCCACUUCAAUUAUGUGUUAUUGGUUUAUAUAUUUUGAUUGAUUCAAAAAUUGAUAUAGUAUUUAUAAAUCCAAGUAAAAUAUGCAUAUUUUUAUAUUUUCGGAUUAGUAUUUACAAAUUCAGAGAUUUUCCCUCGGAUUUGAAUCUUUGUAUUUUUAACAAAAAAAUCCAAAAAAAUUCAGUUAAAUCCAUUAUAAAAUCAAAUUUAUAAGUAAAUUCGUACGAUUGAAUAACACUUGAUUUGAUAUAGAAUUUAUGAAUCAUUAGACCAAUAACAAUUAAUUUUAAUACAGAUUUAAAAAUUAUAGAACUAAACACUAAAUUUAGUUAAGAUUUUCACAUUAAAAUACAACAACCAAUAUUUAGUUAUCAGCUUAUAUACUAAGUCAAAGGAGCUGUCUAUAUAGGAAAGGGCAAAUGAUUAUUUUGUUUUAUGUCAAGGCAAUUGAUCAAAUGUAUAUCACCAGAAAACUAUAAAACAAAGCCUUACAAAUAUUGUUUAUAGACAUUUGUUACUACAGUCGCGAUGUGUCUUCUCUUGUGCUAUUACGCGCGUCGUCGCUUGCAUAGGAAGGCGAAGUCAUCACUGCCUGGAAAUGACGUCAAAAAGGGUGAAACGACGUCAGACACGAAAGAUGGAGGUCUUGUUGUCAUGUCGUCGGGAAAGAAUGAUAAGACCACCGGAUGCUGUGUGUUCGGCGCAGAAGGAGGUGAUUGCGGUGGUUGUGAAGGCGGUUGUGGAGGUGGCUGUGGAGGUGGUUGUGGAGGCGGGUGCGGAGGUGGCGGCGGUUAAAAUUUAAUAUUAGGGUUAUGUAUGGUUAUUAAUGUAACUUUGUGAUUUCUGUGCGUGUGAUUUUAUUAUUUGUACAUGCAAGAUAUGAAGUGUGAUGUAUAUAAUUUCUUGUGAGAAUGAAAGUUGAAUCAUGAAUAUGUAUAUUGCAAAAUGAGUCAUAUAUAUAGGUUUUUGAGUGGAUAAUUAUAAAGUUUUGGAAAACAUUAAAUGAAAUUAUAUUCUAUACAAUUAUUUGCGAAGUGAUUUUUUACACGUUAAAAGUUAGAUCGGUUAAUGUCAAUGUUAUCCCUAAUGAAUAAUUAUAUUUAUUUGUAAUAAUUUAUUUCUUUUAAUAAAUAAAUAGAUAUCUAUAAUUAAUUUAUAAAUCGUGAUAUUGACUAAAUAUAUAUCAAUCUAAACUCUUAAUUAUUUUUGUGAUUAUUUUUUAAAGCUGAUAAGUUGCCAUCAAUUUAACUGAAUAUUAUCUUUGAUUCAAAAAGAUGAAAUUUACGAAGUAAUUUUCACAUUAAAAUUUUAACCUUAAAAGUUAGACCGGUAAAUAUCAAUGUUACCACUAAUGAAUAACUAUAUUUAUUUAUCAUAUUUUUUAUUUUAAUAAAAAAUUAGAUAUUUAUAACUAAUUUAUAAAUCGUGAUAUUGACUAAAUAUAUUUCAAAUUAGACUCUUAAUCAUUUAUGUGAUUACUUUCAAAAGCUGAUAAGUUGCCAUCAAUUUAACUGAAUAUUAUCUUCCAUUAAAAAAGUGAAAUUUAUGAAACUAUAUAUAUACUAAACCCUAUUAAUGUUUGUCGUGUAUGCUCAUAUGUUUAGGUUUUAGUUUAGUUUAUACCUUUAUAUAUUAGUCGAAGUUAUAUUGCUUCUCGUAUGUGAUUUUGUUGUAUAACGGUGAUCAUUAACCAGGGGUGUUCUCACCCUUGUUGGAAAAAGGCGGCAGCUUUAGGCCCCAUUUUUCAAUUACAAUUUAGGGCCCCAUUUUUACUAAAUAUGCAUUCACUUAUGUUUUAAUGGAAUGCACAAUAAACAAGUUAUAUGAAAUAUUGUUUGAAGUAACUAUGUUUCUGUAUAUAUUCCAUAUAAAUAUAUGUUUCUUUUUAAUUUUAUAAAGAAAAUGUUUUUUAGAUUUCAUUAUUCAAUUUUGUUGUAUGCACUCUUAUGAUUUUCUACAUUUUGUUCUUAACUCAUUAAUUUAUAAUUUACUCAAUAGGAUUAAAAAAAAAAUCAUGUUUUUCUUGCCUUAGGCCCCUCAAAUUGUAGGCACGGCAGUGUCAUUAACACAAUCAUUACAUAUCAGAAGUAGCUGUUUCAUCUCCAAAUCGUUUGUUUUGUUGUUUCCUUUUAUGUUUUUCUAUUUUUUUUAAAAUAGAUGGACUACCAAUAAAUCGAGAAAUAAAACAAGAAAGGUACAUGUUUUUUUUUCUAAAGAGAAAGGUACAUGUUAUCAUGUAAAAUUUGUGUUUUUGUCUUUUUGACAAAGAUGAUAAAUUUGGUUUCCGACGAGAUGUAAUCGAAUAACUUUUAAGACGAAUUAUCUACUUUACACUAAGUUUGAUUCUUAAUGGUGAUGAAUGAUAUCAACAAUAACAUAUAAAAAAAUUGUUCUUGUAAAUAAAAUUUCACAUUUAUAUCACGAACAAUGAGAAAAGGUUUUUCGUUUAUGGUUUUUGGUAGGGCAAAAAUAAAAUUUUAAUAUUGGAGAGUUUGGAAUCUGCUCUUCAAUGAAAACGUAAAAUUCUUUUUUUUUUUUAUUUUUCAUGGCAUUAUUUUAUUUAUAUUGAUAUAUCCAUGCUAAUAAAAAUUUAAAGUGAUUCUAACAGACUUGUAAGAUUUUGGACCAUAUAUAUAUAUAUAUAUAACUAAGAAUAUUUAUCAUGUAAGCGCACGUUUGAAAAAAAAAUAUUGUAUGCACACAUAAAAAUUAUACAAAACAAUACAUAUUCAAAAGCAUAAACCAUGUAUAUACAUAAUGAUCAACUAUUGCAAUUGUUACAGAACGAAAUCUAGUAAAUAAAAUUGUAUUAACGUAUGUGCUAUAAAUGAUCAUGCAUAGAAUUCAUUCACUUUCAUUUAUGGAGACAACGUAACAACGUACUACACAACAACGUUCAUCUCUCUCCUCUACAAGUGUUUAAGCUCAUGGACAGAGACAUCAGGAAUGCCAUCACUGCAAGACAGCACAAGAGGAACUUAAUUUCGAGGACUCAUGUGCCUUUGGAUUAGAUGAUUUCUUCUUCUGAUUCUAUAACUACUGACUUUCUUGUUUUUUAUCUAAUUUUUGCCAAGAAAUAAGUGUGUAAAAGUCUUAGCUUGUUUAGGACAAACUUUUCAUUUAGUUAAAUGAUAUUUACAGUUUAGCAAAAAAAAAAAAAGAAUUCAUUCACACGUUCUCCUUCUCGCAGCCGAACCCUAAAGAGAGGAACUCUUGCGUUAAUCGAUCUGCUGCUCCGGUGGUCGGUGAUUCUCACCGCCACCGGGAGCGGUCCCGUGUCGUCUCUGUUUAUAUGUCUUCGGUCUUUGUCUCUGCGUUUUGACAUCCGGUGGUUCGUGGCUUCAGAUCUAGGUUUGGAGGAGAUUCGAUGGUCUGGUAUCGGAUCUGUGGCUCUAUAGCUUGGGUUGGAGCUUCUCUGGACGUUGGGCUUGAUGGUUUUUGUGCGUCGAUGGUGAGUUUGUCGAUCUGGUUCCAGGGCCGGUGAAGUUUAGCUGUCAAGCUUGAGUCUGAAAUCCUCCUGUUUGUGGCCACUCCGAGGGUGUCUUUCUUGUGUUGUGUUUUAGUCUUCAGUCCUAGGUUGGUCUGGGGUGUUUGGUUUGGAGAUCAAGUUUAGUAAUCACUUUGUGGAUUGCUUGGAUUGCUUCUCUAGGGUCGAAACUGUUUUCAGGUGUGCAGUUGCAGGUUAUAGCUGGCUCUGAUGUGGGUUUUUAAUUCUUCCAUUGAUCCUGGUCAAGCGCCCUUCAGGCGUCCUUUGGUGGUUUUCGAGCUUGUAUCUCAGUUUAUGCUUCGGGGGUUGAAGGAGGUUUAGUGGUGUAAGCAGGCUUGAGUUUGUUUGGGUUGGCGACUUGUUUAGAAGGAGCUUUUGCUGAGGCCUUUGGUUGGAUUUGAUCUGAUGUGGUCUCUGUGAUGUUUGUUCUUUCUGAGGCUUUUAGUUGCUGCUUCGUGUAGUCACUAGUUUGGUCUCGUCGUUCAGUCUCGGUAGUAUUUUUAGGUCUUCAUUUGAUGAAGUGUCGAAGCGGGGAAGCUGUGCAGUUCCUUGGUUUGCAUCCUACGGGUUCUCCGGACUUCUUGGUAAGGGGCUGUGGAGCUUAUGCUCAAUCGCGACGGUCUUGGAGCAGUCAAUCGCCAAUCGUGUAUGUGUCUCAUCGUUGGUUGCUCGGGUUGAUGGCUUGUUCUCUGGUGGCUUCUCUUGCUUGAAGAAGUGGUAAGUGUGUUGUUUGCUUGUGGUUCCUUAGGAACGGUAGUGGAGAUUUCAGCUCAACUCUAAUAAUUAAGACCUGUCGCUUUCCUUCUCAAUCCUGCUUCCGGUUUCGACAAACUUCAUCUUGUUUGAAGUUAUGCUUGUGCUCCAGCAGGCGUUUAGCCUCUUUUUCCUUCUUUUGUCUCUUGAGUUUGUAGAAUAUGUUUUAGUGUAAGCGUUUGGUUCCGGGUGGUAACUUGUACACGCCGGCUUGUGGCUCCAGAAAGGGAUUAUACCUUUGCUGGUUAUGUUGUAAGAACUGUUGAAAAUCUAUCAUUAAUCUACCAGAUGACAAAAAAAAAAAAAAAAGAAUUCAUUCACUUUGAGCGCGUGGAAUGACAUCGGGGCCAAAAUAAUUGCUAGCGGUCGAGACUGCUUGGACCUCCAAUAAUGAGAAUCAAUAAUGAUGCAUUUGUAUGUUUUCUGAAAAUAGACUAUCUACAUUCAUUAGGACUCCACAAACUUUGUUCGUGAACUGAAUUAAAUCAACUACCUUAUUGAUUGGCGCUUAUCUCUCAUUAUCCUGCAACUUCUUUUUCUUCACUCUUCAAUUUAGCGUUUUUCAACGAAACAAACAAACAAAAUUUAUAAAAAAAAUGGAUGAUCACUUCAAAACCAUUGUUAUAGUAGUUAUCACCAGUGUUUUGGUUGGGGCAGUGGUUUUUUUGAUAUGUUGUUCCAAUUGCAUUAAUAAAAAGCAGAAACUUCGAUUGCCGGAGCCGCCACAGGUUCAACGACGGAUGAUAGUCAGUGAUCCUACACGUCAGCCAAGUGGAAUUCAUCUGGAAAAUGGUUCUCCUAAAAACCGCUUGUGAAGCAUGUUGUUCCAGUCGCUCCAUAAUCCGUAGAUGAUAGUUUGGUCAACAAGACGCCUAAAAAUUUGGGAGAGCUUCAGGUUAAGGGAGAUGAUGGCGGUUUCGCUGUUAUGACAGCGGCUUCUACUUCUUUUUUUUUUGAAUUAUACAGAGGUAUCCUGGCCUCGCAUAAGUGAUCCAGACUAGUCAUGUGUUGCCACGUGUCGGUCUUGUGUCCCUGGCGAUGCCGAAAUGUUAAUUCUCCAGUGGCCGGGAUUCGGACCCAGGUGGCGGUACUCACAGCUGUAAGCCCUUUACCACUAGAGCUAGAAGCCCCGGUUAGCGGCUUCUACUUCAGCAACAUUUUGUGAUUUUGGUUGUGGUGGCGACGAUGGUUGCAGUAGUGGUGGCUGUGGGGGCUGAAUAGUUGAUAAAAUUUGUGUAACAUACCGAAUUGUGAUAUAUGGAAAGGCUUAAGAAAAUUGAUUUGACUAUCUAUGUUAUCAAAGUUGACUUAUCUUUUUUGUCAUAUAUCCGUUUAGAACUCUAGAAUUAAGCAUACUUGAACUGGAGUAGUGGAAGGAUGGGUGACCUAUCGGAAAGUGAUUGCGAUACCGUGUGAGUGAGGCCAAAAUACGGAGAAAUGUCAGUUGGUGAUUGCAGGGUUAGUAAACAAGACUCUAGAACCUUAGAAAAAAUUAACGGACCGAACGUCAGAUGGGAUAGGAUCCACGGGCCGAGAGAACGGGUGUGAGUGGCCCAUUAGCUGAGCGUUAUAAUUUGAUUUUUAAAAAAUAUAUAUUGUAUUGAUAUGUUUUCAUAGUUUUCGCCUAGAUUCAGUAUCUUGUUUAACUCUGUGAUUAUCCAGCGGAUUCAGUAACAUUCAUCUUAUGUUAAUUUAUGUUAUUUGCAGUUAAUGUAACGUGGAUCAUCCCUAAACUUUCUGAUGAAAUAAUACUAUAGGUAAAAAUCUUUAAUUAGGCUAGUGGUUAAUGAAGCCAUAGAUAGAAGAAAAGUAAUGGGUUCGAUUUUCUAUAAUUUGCAUUUACCAAGUUAAUUUAAUUGCUAAAAAACUCUAUUCAUAUCUACGGGAUUACAGGUGGAGUUAAUAGUAUAAAAUAGUUUUAUUUUUCUUUCUUUUUUGCUAAAAUUAAUGAAGAUUUAUUAUGCCAGGCUGCCAGCCAGUGAAUUAUAGGAUCAUUUCUGUCGUUACUAGCUAAUGAAUUCACUGUAUGCGUGAUAUAGAUUUCAGAAUGCAGUCUUAAAAGCAUCCAUCAUACAAACCAACCGCAACAAUUUCUGUCGCGUGUUUUCUUAUCUAAACUUUGUUAUUGUGCUUAUUUUAUCUCAGAUUAACAAUUAUUUCAAAUAAACUACUUGGACUAUCAAAUUUAAGCAAAAAUCAGCUUUGACCGAAAUAAUGUUAGUCAACCAUGAACCAUCUAUAAAUAUAUAAAAACAUUCGGAUAAUUCAAAACACGAAAAAAAAUAUCCUAAAAUACGUGACAAAUUUGGAUAGCUCGUAAACAUUAAAAUAUACACAAAACCAAAAUAUACCCAAAAAAUCCGUGAUAAGCUAUAAACAUUCA